AUUUGACCGAAAGUCAGUGUGUGUGAGAGUGUUACUCGAAGAUCAUAUUUGGUGAUACCUACUUAUUUGGGUUGAUCAUCAGGAUGCAGGAUCAAGGACCUAAUAAGGAUUAGUGUGCGCUUGGGGAGCGGUUGAUGGAGGUAUAUGGCGAUAACAUGACUUGAACCGGAUGCAGUGCAUCAAGAAGCCAACGGAGAGUG
Molecule: long non-coding RNA, 200 nt
Organism: Drosophila rhopaloa
Lineage: Eukaryota; Metazoa; Arthropoda; Insecta; Diptera; Drosophilidae
Exons: 2
Source: RefSeq, a predicted model, not a curated record